Long non-coding RNA from Ictalurus punctatus (channel catfish), 1315 nucleotides. NCBI's taxonomy places the organism in Eukaryota, Metazoa, Chordata, Actinopteri, Siluriformes, Ictaluridae. The record is from Ensembl.
UUUCUUCAAUUUGUGGCAUUCGACAUGCCAUUUUCCUUGAGGACAUUUCGCACUGUUGUACUUCCAUACCACAGCUAUCGACUGCGUGACCUGGGAAGCGUAGACCCCGUCUGAAGGCCGUGCUGUAUUCUGGGAAAUGGAGUAGUCCAUUCUGGUGUUGACGUGAAAGUUUAAGUAUAAAAUCUCAUUAUGUCAAUUAUAUAAGUGUCUUUCACGAUCACGUUUGUGAUCAGAAAAGGAAACGUGGCGUCAUGCCGUUUCGAUCCCGAAUCGAACAUGAGUCCACGAGUACGAGCUGUGAUAUCUUUCUAAACAGAGAUAUGAAUGGAAACGUAAAUAAAUAAAUAAAUAAAAAUCGAGGCUGAAGGUCAUCUAGAGUCUGGGAUUUGUGGUUCGAGCAAUUUUUGAGAGAGUUUAUGCUUGCAAUACGGUAUGCUUUCCUGCAUUUCCACUCGACUACGCCUGGGAAAUUGCUGUAUGCUGUAUGCGCAGUUCCAUGCGGACGUCAGCCUUACCUUUUUUUAAGCUCUUAGCAAAAGAAAAACAAAAGAAAAACCCUUUUUAAGUUGUCCGUUUAUGUCUGUAUUUUACUGCGUUAAUGUGCCGUACUAGAACUCAUGAGGAAAAUGCCAUGUUUAUCCAUCACAUAUGAGGUGUGCACUAUACUAAAAUGACAUUUUCAACCAGCCGUAUUUCAAAGAGGGUUCAAAAACCUUUUUUUUUUUUCUUUUUCUCCUUUUACUUUAUAUUAACAAUAAGCGCUUUGCGAAAAGAUGGACAGAUGUCUGAGAAAUGUCUGCAUUUUCAAUUCAUAAGGGCUAUAUUUAGGAAGUCGGGACGCUUCAGUGCUGCGAAACGUAACGUUUUCAAGGUUAAGUUCGUAUCAUAUAAUAAUUACUGAUACGAAUAAACUUUGUGUGCAAAGCUAAAUGAUGUCCAUGCUAAUUAUGAUCAACAACGCACCUCCCUUCUUUGCUCUGGACGACCAUAAUAACGUGUUACGGACGCGACCGUUACGGACGCUGCGUGUUAAAUCAUAAGCGUGCGUAUCACCGGCGCGCGUUGGUUUAGCAUGAUGUUGCUGUUCGAUGACUGAGUUAUAUUACUGCGAUCUGUUUCUGGCUUACUGUGUAUCGGGAUAUUUUGUAAAUGUGAUUGAUUCGUUUAUUCUAGUAACAUUUUAGACAUUGCAUUCUAACAACGAGAACACCACGGGGAUUUAGAGAUCGCUACUGUCUUAUCGCUCUUAUAGUAUUUGAAUAAAUAGAGAGAGAGAGAGAGAGAGAGGGAGAUUGAGAGAGUGAGGCAGAGAGAU